UGAGCAAUCUGCCCUUCUCUUCGGAAUAAGCGUUGGAAAUGACGUCUAAUGCCGAAUACGACCUCCUUUCGCAUGAUCGGAGGUGGAAAGCUCCGGCGGAGAAGGAUGAGCUCGCGGCCUAUCAGCUAGUUGGUGUGGGUAAUGGCCCACCAAGGCGACGACGGGUAGCCGGCCUGAGAGGGUGUCCGGCCACACUGGGACUGAGAUACGGCCCAGACUCCUACGGGAGCAG
Molecule: ribosomal RNA, 232 nt
Filed under: uncultured bacterium
Lineage: Bacteria
Description: partial 16S ribosomal RNA
Rfam family: Bacterial small subunit ribosomal RNA
Source: RNAcentral